UCUCCGUAGGUGAACCUGCGGAGGGAUCAUUACCGAGUGAGGGCUCACGCCCGACCUCCAACCCUUUGUGAACACAUCUUGUUGCUUCGGGGGCGACCCUGCCGGCACUCUGUCGCCGGGCGCCCCCGAAGGUCUCCCAACACUGCAUCUUUGCGUCGGAGUUUAAAACAAAUUAAACACAACUUUCAGCAACGGCUCUCUUGGUUCUGGCAUCGAUGAAGACCGCAGC
This 229-nucleotide unclassified non-coding RNA is filed under the name uncultured fungus. RNAcentral's name for it is "sequence contains ITS1, 5.8S rRNA gene". The stretch from base 181 to 229 matches the Rfam family "5.8S ribosomal RNA", at positions 1 to 49 of the family's 154-position model. Lineage: Eukaryota; Fungi. The record is from RNAcentral.